Amblyraja radiata (thorny skate) is the source of this 467-nucleotide long non-coding RNA. RefSeq lists it as uncharacterized. NCBI's taxonomy places the organism in Eukaryota, Metazoa, Chordata, Chondrichthyes, Rajiformes, Rajidae. The record is from RefSeq and is a predicted model, not a curated record. The transcript is spliced from 2 exons.
UACUGCAGCAUUUUGCGUCCGUCUUUGGUGUAAACUGGCAUCUGCAGUUCCUUCCUACACUUUCCUUGUACCUUGUGGUCAUCACUUCCGGAGAGUCCACCAGGAAUUACACUGGAAGUUGGACAAUUUAUACUGGACAAGUUUUACAUUUAUCAAGCCAAUUAACCCACAAAGCCAAGUUUCCACCGGGCGCUCCGGUCUCCUCCGACAUUCCAAAUGCGUGCAGGUUUGUAGGUUAAUCAGCCUCUGUAAUUUGUCCCGAGUGCAUAUGAUGUGAAACCAGGAUAACAUCGAGCUAGUGUGCAAGUGGUCGUGGGUCGGCACAGAUUCGGUGGGCCAAAGGGCCGGUUUCCAUGCUGUAUAUCUCUGAAGUGGACUGAAAAGAGACAAAAGAUGUCGGGUGAGGAGAAAAGAGGAGUGAAAUGUAAAGCCAGAGGAAGGAUUGAGGUAGAAGGGGAUGGGUAGGG